UACGGAAGGCAGCAGUGGGGAAUAUUGCACAAUGGGCGAAAGCCUGAUGCAGCUAUGCCGCGUGUAUGAAGAAGGCCUUAGGGUUGUAAAGUACUUUCAUCGGGGAGGAAAAAACAAAACUAAUAAUUUUAUUUCUUGACGUUACCCGAAAAAGAAGCACCGGCUAACUCCGUGCCAGCAGCCGCGGUAAUACGGAGGGUGCUAGCGUUAAUCAGAAUUACUGGGCGUAAAGAGCACGUAGGUGGUUUUUUUAAGUCAGAUGUGAAAUCCCUGGGCUUAACCUGGAACUGCAUUUUGAAACUGAAAUACUAGAGUAUCGUAGAAGGAGGUAGAAUUCUAGGUGUAGCGGUGAAAUGCGUAGAUAUCUGGAGGAAUACCUGUGGCGAAAGCGGCCUCCUAAACGAAUACUGACACUGAGGUGCGAAAGCGUGGGGAGCAAACAGGGAUUAGAUACC
This 455-nucleotide ribosomal RNA is filed under the name uncultured bacterium. RNAcentral's name for it is "bacterial SSU rRNA". It matches the Rfam family "Bacterial small subunit ribosomal RNA", at positions 340 to 786 of the family's 1533-position model. The record is from RNAcentral.